RNAcentral lists this long non-coding RNA (393 nucleotides) under Brassica napus (rape). Its description in RNAcentral is "long non-coding RNA (BNAP_LNC020020)". The record is from RNAcentral. Lineage: Eukaryota; Viridiplantae; Streptophyta; Magnoliopsida; Brassicales; Brassicaceae.
AGGGUGUUAGUGCAUAUGAUUGUUUGGUCCUCCAAGAUGGUGUUUUUAUCGAGGAAGAUAUUUUCGUCAAAAACUUAUUCUUCAGGCGUCUGCGACGUCUCGCGAUGCUGAAGAUUAGUUCUUCUUUCGUAUGCCGCUUUUCGUGCUAGAAAUAUUUAUGGGCUUGAAGAUGUUUCGCGGUGUUGUAAGGGUUUUGUCUUAACCCCGCGUCGGAGAAACAUUUUUGGUUUGUCUGUGGAUGUUAGCAACCAAAACUGUUAUUUCCAUUCGGAUGCUAAUAUUUUGAUUUGCGAUCGAGGAACUAGGACUGAGGGGUCUCGUAAAUUUGCCCAUGGGAAGAAGCGUUUUCCUUCAUAGUUCUUUGUGAAAUGUUGGUCUUCCGAGAUCUAUUUC